RNAcentral lists this ribosomal RNA (206 nucleotides) under uncultured bacterium. RNAcentral's name for it is "partial 16S ribosomal RNA". It matches the Rfam family "Bacterial small subunit ribosomal RNA", at positions 568 to 774 of the family's 1533-position model. The record is from RNAcentral.
UACGUAGGCGGUUUCUUAAGCGCAGGGUUUAAGGCAAUGGCUCAACCAUUGUUCGCCCUGUGAACUGGGAGACUUGAGUGCAGGAGAGGAAAGCGGAAUUCCUAGUGUAGCGGUGAAAUGCGUAGAUAUUAGGAGGAACACCAGUGGCGAAGUCGGCUUUCUGGACUGUAACUGACGCUGAGGUACGAAAGUGUGGGGAGCAAACA